RNAcentral lists this long non-coding RNA (1219 nucleotides) under Homo sapiens (human). RNAcentral describes it as "HSALNT0283021". The record is from RNAcentral. Lineage: Eukaryota; Metazoa; Chordata; Mammalia; Primates; Hominidae.
CACCCGGCUCUCCUCUCCACCAGGCUCCCACGCCCACCACACAGCCUGUAGCCCCGGCGGAGCUAUGGGCUCUGACUCCGCCUCUUUCCAAAUCCGGAGUAGUUCGUGCCACAGUCGUCCUCGGAACCCUGUGGCCCCUUCCUCACCCGUUUCAGGGCCACUUGGUUCCCACCUCCACCUUCUUAGUCUGCCUGCCCUGCUUUCCAUCUUCUUGGAAUUCGCCUUGCUGCCGCCCCGCGCCCACCCCCGCGCCCACCCCUGCCCCUGCACCGUCCCAUGCCCUUAUGGAUUUAUUCUUUACACGUAAAUAUGUCUUUCCUCUUUUUGAAAGGAUUUGGAGUUGGAACAGAGAAAUUCACUAUGGAUGAUGCUAUAUCUUUAUAUGACCUUUGGAAUAUCUGUAAUCAUCCUGAGGGCAAUACUUAUGUAAUGAAGAUGGAAGAAGAGAGAAUAUGAAUACUCCGUGCACUUUGAUCUUAUCGUUUAGCUGCUGAUCAUACCAUCCCUGGAGUCCUACUUCUGACUCCAAGUUAUGAGGAUGUCCCAGUGUUCUCACGUUCCACCUUCAAUCACACUUAACCAAUGUUAAAUCCCUGGAGAUACCAGAGACAUAAAUUUUCAUCGUGUGAAAUCUCUCAAAUGUCUAAAGUACCUAAUUAAAAAUAGAAAAUAAUGAAAACACAAAGAUGAAAAAAACCUGGCAGCUGUCUGAGAUUGGUCCCUGGGCAGCCAGCUGGUAUUUGUUGGACUGAAUUGUGUGAUGUAUACAAGAAAAUUAAUCCCUGCUACGGUGAAGUAGGCUUGCCUUGUGUAAUUCUUGAGGCAGUCAGCCUCAGGCCAUGUUGGGUGGAGAGAAUAAACUCUAUUUACCACCUUCUUUCAACUCCUGGCAGCUCCUUGCAUCUCCCACUAUGCAUGGAGUUACGGUAACCUGGGCAGCAGGGCGUCACCAGCACUCUUUCUUUGGUGUCAGAGGUAUAAUUUAGUGAAGGGUGAAGUUGCAGAAACUAGUGGGCGGGUUUUCAGAUGGGCUAUAGGAGAAAGACUGGGGAAAGGCAAGGAGGGGAGAAAGAGAAAGACACAGAUCUAUCUUUGCAUCAGACACCAUAGUUUUGAGGGACUUUUUGUGGGUUGCUGCUCCCUCUCCCCACCAGCCUUGACCCUUUUUUGUGACAUUAUACAGCUGAAUGAGUUAGUUAUACCAAGUCAAAACCCCCAG